CGUCGUAGCCCUUCUCUCCUCCUUUCCUCCGCCAUCACGCGCUGUGUGUCAAACUCGGCUUCUCGCUAUGUCUUCUCACAAGACUUUCAGAAUCAAGCGGUUCCUGGCCAAGAAACAAAAGCAAAACCGGCCGAUUCCUCAAUGGAUCCGGAUGAAAACUGGUAACAAGAUCAGGUACAACUCCAAGAGAAGACACUGGAGGAGAACGAAGCUGGGACUGUAAGGAUUCAGAGUGGCGAGACUGACGCUUUAGACUGAAUCAAUUCUACCAGAUGGAGUUCAGCAUUUUUAACCCCGGGGGGACUUAGUCCUGUCUAAAUUGGGGGUGUGGCUUGUCCAGUAAUAAAAUGUAGACCGUUUCAAGCCA
This is a long non-coding RNA of Acomys russatus (golden spiny mouse), 367 nucleotides long. RefSeq lists it as uncharacterized. The transcript has 3 exons. The record is from RefSeq and is a predicted model, not a curated record. NCBI's taxonomy places the organism in Eukaryota, Metazoa, Chordata, Mammalia, Rodentia, Muridae.